RNAcentral lists this ribosomal RNA (459 nucleotides) under uncultured bacterium. RNAcentral's name for it is "partial 16S ribosomal RNA". It matches the Rfam family "Bacterial small subunit ribosomal RNA", at positions 338 to 795 of the family's 1533-position model. The record is from RNAcentral.
CCUACGGGAGGCAGCAGUGAGGAAUAUUGGUCAAUGGGCGGGAGCCUGAACCAGCCAAGUCGCGUGAGGGCAGACGGUCCUAUGGAUUGUAAACCUCUUUAGGCGGGGAACAAAGGCGGGGACGUGUCCCCGGAUGAGUGUACCUGAAGAAAAAGCAUCGGCUAACUCCGUGCGAGCAGCCGCGGUAAUACGUAGGAUGCGUGCGUUGUCCGGCUUUAUUGGGUUUAAAGGGUGGGCGGGCGGUCUGUUAAGUCAGCGGGCAACGCACGGGGCUAAACCCCGGCCCGCCGUUGAGACUGGCAGUCUCGAGUUGGAGAGAAGUAUGCGGAAUGCGCGGUGUAGCAGUGAAAUGCAUAGAUAUCGAGCAGAACUCCGAUUGCGAAGGCAGCAUGCGGGCUCCACACUGACGCUAAGGCACGAAAGCGUGGGUAUCGAACGGGAUUAGAUACCCUAGUAGUC